CGGAACGUAGCUCAAUUGGAUAGAGCAGCCCCCUCCUAAGGGGCAGGUUGUGGGAUCAUGCCCCACCGUUCCGGCCA
RNAcentral lists this transfer RNA (77 nucleotides) under Vibrio hepatarius. Its description in RNAcentral is "tRNA-Arg". Lineage: Bacteria; Pseudomonadati; Pseudomonadota; Gammaproteobacteria; Vibrionales; Vibrionaceae. The record is from RNAcentral.